GAAUGCUGACAUAAGUAACGAUAAAGCGGGUGAAAAGCCCGCUCGCCGGAAGACCAAGGGUUCCUGUCCAACGUUAAUCGGGGCAGGGUGAGUCGACCCCUAAGGCGAGGCCGAAAGGCGUAGUCGAUGGGAAACGGGUUAAUAUUCCCGUACUUGGUGUUACUGCGAAGGGGGGACGGAGAAGGCUAUGUUGGCCGGGCGACGGUUGUCCCGGUUUAAGCGUGUAGGUGUGUGUUCCAGGUAAAUCCGGUUCACUUUAACACUGAGGCGUGACGACGAGGCACUACGGUGCUGAAGCAACAAAUGCCCUGCUUCCAGGAAAAGCCUCUAAGCAUCAGGUAACAUCAAAUCGUACCCCAAACCGACACAGGUGGUCAGGUAGAGAAUACCAAGGCGCUUGAGAGAACUCGGGUGAAGGAACUAGGCAAAAUGGUGCCGUAACUUCGGGAGAAGGCACGCUGACACGUAGGUGAAGUGAUUUACUCAUGGAGCUGAAGUCAGUCGAAGAUACCAGCUGGCUGCAACUGUUUAUUAAAAACACAGCACUGUGCAAACACGAAAGUGGACGUAUACGGUGUGACGCCUGCCCGGUGCCGGAAGGUUAAUUGAUGGGGUCAGCGCAAGCGAAGCUCCUGAUCGAAGCCCCGGUAAACGGCGGCCGUAACUAUAACGGUCCUAAGGUAGCGAAAUUCCUUGUCGGGUAAGUUCCGACCUGCACGAAUGGCGUAAUGAUGGCCAGGCUGUCUCCACCCGAGACUCAGUGAAAUUGAACUCGCUGUGAAGAUGCAGUGUACCCGCGGCAAGACGGAAAGACCCCGUGAACCUUUACUAUAGCUUGACACUGAACAUUGAGCCUUGAUGUGUAGGAUAGGUGGGAGGCUUUGAAGUGUGGACGCCAGUCUGCAUGGAGCCGACCUUGAAAUACCACCCUUUAAUGUUUGAUGUUCUAACGUGGACCCGUUACCCGGGUUGCGGACAGUGUCUGGUGGGUAGUUUGACUGGGGCGGUCUCCUCCUAAAGAGUAACGGAGGAGCACGAAGGUUGGCUAAUCCUGGUCGGACAUCAGGAGGUUAGUGCAAUGGCAUAAGCCAGCUUGACUGCGAGCGUGACGGC
This 1113-nucleotide ribosomal RNA is filed under the name Salmonella enterica. RNAcentral describes it as "partial 23S ribosomal RNA". It matches the Rfam family "Bacterial large subunit ribosomal RNA", at positions 1292 to 2388 of the family's 2925-position model. The record is from RNAcentral. Lineage: Bacteria; Pseudomonadati; Pseudomonadota; Gammaproteobacteria; Enterobacterales; Enterobacteriaceae.